GAUGAACGCUGGCGGCGUGCCUAAUACAUGCAAGUCGAGCGAACAGAUGAGGAGCUUGCUCCUCUGACGUUAGCGGCGGACGGGUGAGUAACACGUGGAUAACCUACCUAUAAGACUGGGAUAACUUCGGGAAACCGGAGCUAAUACCGGAUAAUAUAUUGAACCGCAUGGUUCAAUAGUGAAAGACGGUUUUGCUGUCACUUAUAGAUGGAUCCGCGCUGCAUUAGCUAGUUGGUAAGGUAACGGCUUACCAAGGCAACGAUGCGUAGCCGACCUGAGAGGGUGAUCGGACACACUGGAACUGAGACACGGUCCAGACUCCUACGGGAGGCAGCAGUAGGGAAUCUUCCGCAAUGGGCGAAAGCCUGACGGAGCAACGCCGCGUGAGUGAUGAAGGUCUUCGGAUCGUAAAACUCUGUUAUUAGGGAAGAACAAAUGUGUAAGUAACUAUGCACGUCUUGACGGUACCUAAUCAGAAAGCCACGGCUAACUACGUG
Molecule: ribosomal RNA, 497 nt
Filed under: uncultured bacterium
Lineage: Bacteria
Description: partial 16S ribosomal RNA
Rfam family: Bacterial small subunit ribosomal RNA
Source: RNAcentral